RNAcentral lists this ribosomal RNA (585 nucleotides) under Myrothecium sp. M14-GM-367. RNAcentral's name for it is "eukaryotic LSU rRNA". The stretch from base 140 to 293 matches the Rfam family "5.8S ribosomal RNA". Lineage: Eukaryota; Fungi; Ascomycota; Sordariomycetes; Hypocreales; Stachybotryaceae. The record is from RNAcentral.
GGUAGCGCUUCGGCGCACCCGUUGCUUCGGCGGUCACGCCCCGGCGCCCUGUUGCCUCGGACCCAGGCGCCCGCCGGAGACCCCAAACCCUCUGUCUUUAGUGGUUUUCUCCUCUGAGUGACAUAAACAAAUAAAUAAAAACUUUCAACAACGGAUCUCUUGGCUCUGGCAUCGAUGAAGAACGCAGCGAAAUGCGAUAAGUAAUGUGAAUUGCAGAAUUCAGUGAAUCAUCGAAUCUUUGAACGCACAUUGCGCCCGCCAGUAUUCUGGCGGGCAUGCCUGUUCGAGCGUCAUUUCAACCCUCAGGCCCCCAGUGCCUGGCGUUGGGGAUCGGCGCGGCGUCCCUCCGGGGGCGCUGCCGGCCCCGAAAUUCAGUGGCGGUCUCGCUGUAGCCCUCCUCCGCGUAGUAGCACAACCUCGCGGCCUGGAGCUCGGCGGUGGCCAUGCCGUAAAACACCCCACUUCUGAAAGCCCCAACUUCUGAAAUUUUGACCUCGGAUCAGGUAGGAAUACCCGCUGAACUUAAGCAUAUCAAUAAGCCGGAGGAAGGAUUGUUACGAACGUGCUUCGGGCUCCGGCCGAUCU